GCAGGUGAGGUGUGACGUGGGGAUCGACACUUAUCCUGGAAACUUUAGAAUUACCGUCACACUCACAGUCAGAGCGAAUGUAGUGGAGCACAAGUUAAAGUUUGAAUGAGUAAUCAAAAUCUAUUGGGAUAUUCCAUUACCACUAAAGCAGAUACUUUACAGAUGAAGUUACCAUCAGGAAAAGUAUGUGUUGCUUCUAUUGAUCAAAAAUAACAUUUUGUUUCUCUGCGUUUAGUUAUGCUCUCUCUCCUCUUGACAAUGGGCUACUCUAAUCUAGUAGUAGUAGUACUAGAACAGAGUGGAAGAAUUAGAAAAUAUGUAGUAUAGAUUAAAAGUUAGAAGAUUCUGGUUUUACAUUUUGUUUGGGGAAACGAAUUUUUAUUCAAAGCUUUUUUUAGCAAAAGUAUUUCCAUAAUUAGAACAAAGGGUAAUUAUAAUAUUGGGAAGGUGGCCCAGGGCCAACACCUCAGAAACUUAAGAGUUUUUUCACGGAAACCGUAAACCAAAGCAGUGGUUAUAUCAUUAGUAUUCUGAAAGUGAUGCAUGCAGCUUGAUUUUAAAUUUCAUUUGUAAUUGUGAAAUUGUCAUUUCUACUAAAGUGAAAUGGCUUAGAAAAUAAAUUAUUUAAUUUUAAAAGUGAAUGCAGAGGCUAAUAAAGAUUAAAUUUUGAGACUUAGAUACUGGCCUAUUAAAUAAUGCACAAAAUAUAAUCAUUAAUUACUUGUUUGGAGCCAAUAUGGACUCCUGCCAAAAAAUAAUAGCUCCCAAUCUAUUAAGUCUGCAAAUUUCUUUCUCUCUCUCAGGUGACUAAUUGGAAAUGAAUGAAGAAUUAAACAAUUCUUUAAAAUAUUUGAAUACAUUUUUCUUCUCUAUUUGCAUGGAAAGAUAAAAUGAGCACUCUUGAAGGCUAAUGAUGUUAGUAAUACUUUUAAAAGUUAAUGGAGCCACUUUUUUAUCAUCUUCCAUUUAAUUUUAAUAUUCUGUAUUCUUCAUAUUCAUGCUGUGUAAUGUAUAUGUGAUUUAGACAAUUUAGAGUUCUGUGUAAUUUCAAAACAACAAAUGCCAAACAUUUGAUCAUGUUUAGUAGCCCCCCCCCCCCAUCCCUCCUCUCUGUCUAUGAUGACUCUGUCUUUUUUUUACAAUUACAGUUUAUCAAUGUCAUUUCCAUGAUAAAAAAUCAUAAUACAUACUUGAAAUAUUCUAAACAAGAGUGUUUUAUAAGAUAGAGACCACAACCACCACCCUUCCAGUGGCUCACAAGUAAGCAUCAAGGCUUAUAAUGUUAAAAGUUGAUUUUGGCACUCAGUGUGGGCAGAACACAAUACAUUUUGUAGCUUUGCACUUAACAAUAAACAAACAAAAUAUAAGCUGGUAGUAACUUUGUAACUUGUAUUUUCUUUAAACAUAUCCCAGAAUUCAAUUGCCACUGAGUACUGGUACUCAGUCAGACUUUCUCACAAAAUAUGUUUUUCUCAGUAUGUACAUAAAAUUCAUUCUCCUUUUCUCUAUAUCACCAUUAUUCUUAACAGUUUACUAAAUAUGUGCAUGGUUGGUCCAGUGAAUCAAUGCUGUACAGGAGAAGUAAUGUUGACUAUAAUUUCAAAUUUAUUAUGAGUGCCUCCACAAAAUGUGGAAAGCUUUUAAUAAACAGUACAAGUCUGUUGUACAUGAAAAAAAUAGGAUGUGUAAUAAUAAAGUAUUUGUACUCAAGAUGUAUCUAUGAAUUGAUGACACUAGUCAAGUUGGAGUGCAAGGUUAUGUUGAUUGGAAGAAUAAAAAUACUUUUUUCCAUUGUACAGGGUGUAUUUUGUAUUUGCAUAACCUCUGAAACCUCCAAAAUGCAUAUCUGCAGUUUCUUUUAGUAUCCAUGUAUAUUGAUUCUAGUAUUUAUUCUACCACAAACUGUAGCUAAAUCAGCAAUGUAGGGUAAUAUGCAUAGUUGAUAACUAACAUCAAAUACAUCAUACCAUGUUGAAUGAUACUGUGCAGAAAGUCAAGUUAGGUACAACAACAAUUAUUCACUAAGGCUUAUACUGUUUCUUUGCCAUGUCCUUUGGAGUGAGGUCAUACUUAUUUCAAGAAAUGGUACAGAGACUUGCAUAGUUAAUAUGAGUUGGGGAUUUGUCUUCCUUGUAAAUGUACUAUAGUACAGGUUGACUUAGGUAAUCUAGUAUUGUAAGAAAUCACACAAAGAACUUUUGUUCUGACUUAAUAGAGUGAUAUAUAAUUAAUUUUGCUAUUGUUUUCGUCUUGUGUAGAUGUGAUUCUGGUCUGCUUCAGUAGUUAGCUCCAAUUUUUUGUACAGAACAUAGAAACUUAACAGUCUAGUAAACCGCAGUAUGUUUUGUUCUUGUAUAAAUAAAGACUGUUUAUUUGUACACCUGUGUUUGCUUUCCUUUUUCUUCCUUUUCAUGUUCAAUAUAUAUAUAUAUAUAUAUAUUCUGCUUAACUUACCAUAGAAUCUGUUGUGUAUAUCACAGAUACUUGGUACUUACCUGUUUUGGUAUCAGUGUUCCUUAAUACCAUGUUUUCACAGCAUCACUUCUUAAUUUUCAUUCAGAGGAAUCCCAGGGCACAGAGGUGGUGCCAGCCUUUUCCUGAGUGUAUCACGUGACUGCCUACUGAUUAUUAUAGAAAAGUUGAUGUGGUUCUCUACCAAUUUUUGCAGUAAAGUUGAUGGAACAGUAUUUAUUCUUAUAGAAAGGAUCCAGCAUUUGAAAUGCAAGAUAAAAGGUUCCAUAGUCCACUCUGUUGGAAAAUAGAGGAAAGAACUCCAGUGGAUCAAGCUCAUAUUUUACAGUGGAUUAAUUUUGUCAACCAUGCAUAUCCUUGCAUGGGUAUUGUGCAGUACAACAGACAAAUAAAUUAAGGCUACUGACCAUGCUAAGGACGAUAAAGGUUUGAAACUUUACUAGUUGGAGAAUGAAAUACUUGAGCAGAUAUUUCUGUUUGCUGCACUUAUCUCUUCCCUUAUGAACAUAAAUUUUCUCAUUGUCAGAACAUUCAAUAUGGAUGUUUUCAAGCAAGUCUAUUCCAAUGAAGAUAAAGAGAAGUCUACAGCAUACUUGCAGGAAAACUUGUCUGUUUAAUACUAUGAAUUUUUCUCCUGACUGGUGGAGUGGAAUGGACCUUAAUGCAGAUCACACCAAAUAGAAGAAUACCUUGCAUGAGAAAAUGAUUUGGGCAAGAAAUGUAAUCAAGGCAGGAUAUUUAAAUGAAUUGCACAUUUGCAGAGCAUCAUAAACAUUACUUUGUAUUAAAACACUAGAAUGUUGUUUAAUGCAAAUUGAAAAUAUGUACUGUACAUUAGAACUGUAGAAAGAUGCUUAUUUUGUAUGAAAACUUUAAAUAUUUGUUUAUGUUAAAAACACCAGAAUGUUAUUUAUAUUAGAACUUUAAAAAUAUGUGUACUUUAUAUUAAAACAUUUUGGAAUGAUCCAUGUAUUCUCACAGAAGAGUCAGUCAUUUACAGCUGUCUUACAAAUACAUUAUUGUGAACUUACAAGAAAACUUUCAGUCAAGCUAAUUAACUUAGAAAACUAUUAUGUUUAUGAAAGAAAUUCUCUGUCUAAUCUGCUGAUUGUACUAAUUUGGAAUAAAAAGAACUUGCAAAUGUU
This 3617-nucleotide long non-coding RNA is filed under the name Limulus polyphemus (Atlantic horseshoe crab). RNAcentral's name for it is "uncharacterized LOC106465191, transcript variant X2". Lineage: Eukaryota; Metazoa; Arthropoda; Merostomata; Xiphosura; Limulidae. The record is from RNAcentral.